RNAcentral lists this ribosomal RNA (673 nucleotides) under uncultured Bacilli bacterium. RNAcentral describes it as "bacterial SSU rRNA". It matches the Rfam family "Bacterial small subunit ribosomal RNA", at positions 71 to 730 of the family's 1533-position model. The record is from RNAcentral. Lineage: Bacteria; Bacillati; Bacillota; Bacilli.
GAGAGGAGCUUGCUCUUCUUGGAUGAGUUGCGAACGGGUGAGUAACGCGUAGGUAACCUGCCUUGUAGCGGGGGAUAACUAUUGGAAACGAUAGCUAAUACCGCAUAACAAUGGAUGACACAUGUCAUUUAUUUGAAAGGGGCAAUUGCUCCACUACAAGAUGGACCUGCGUUGUAUUAGCUAGUAGGUGAGGUAACGGCUCACCUAGGCGACGAUACAUAGCCGACCUGAGAGGGUGAUCGGCCACACUGGGACUGAGACACGGCCCAGACUCCUACGGGAGGCAGCAGUAGGGAAUCUUCGGCAAUGGGGGCAACCCUGACCGAGCAACGCCGCGUGAGUGAAGAAGGUUUUCGGAUCGUAAAGCUCUGUUGUAAGUCAAGAACGAGUGUGAGAGUGGAAAGUUCACACUGUGACGGUAGCUUACCAGAAAGGGACGGCUAACUACGUGCCAGCAGCCGCGGUAAUACGUAGGUCCCGAGCGUUGCCCGGAUUUAUUGGGCGUAAAGCGAGCGCAGGCGGUUUGAUAAGUCUGAAGUUAAAGGCUGUGGCUCAACCAUAGUUCGCUUUGGAAACUGUCAAACUUGAGUGCAGAAGGGGAGAGUGGAAUUCCAUGUGUAGCGGUGAAAUGCGUAGAUAUAUGGAGGAACACCGGUGGCGAAAGCGGCUCUCU